UAUGAUUAUAUUGCGUACUACUUCUGAUUGCACAAAAUAUGUCAAGCAAAUAUACUUAGCUUCAAGUUUGCAUAUAUGUCAAACAAGUAUAAGCUGUCAAGAAAACUUAUUUGUUUUCUGAAGUCCACCAUAUUUAAGGUUCUUAAAAUUCAAGAGGAUCAUGGGGCUUCUUAUCAAGCAAAGCCAAAAUGCUUAGCAAAA
This 201-nucleotide unclassified non-coding RNA is filed under the name Hevea brasiliensis (rubber tree). The record is from RNAcentral. Lineage: Eukaryota; Viridiplantae; Streptophyta; Magnoliopsida; Malpighiales; Euphorbiaceae.